CUUCUCUCUUCUAGAGAAAUCUUCAUCUUCAUCUCCUUUUCAGUACAAUCAAGAAUCAACCCAACUCAACAAAAUAACCAAAAUCCGCCAUUGAAACUGAGAAGCCUUCAUCAACCGCACGCAGCUUCUCAUCCAUGAGAUCGAGCUCUUUGACGAUGGGAGAAUGGAUCUGUGCCUCGCUCGCCUCGCCGAUGAGACCCGAUUUUCUGUGAAUGAAGUGGAGGCCUUGUAUGAGCUCUUUAAGAAGUUGAGCAGUUCAAUCAUUGAUGAUGGGUCUAUUCACAAGGAAGAGCUUCAAUUGGUGCUGUUCCAAACUCCACAUGGCGAAAAUCUUUUCCUAGACCGGGUUUUUGAUCUUUUUGAUGAAAAGAGAAAUGGUGUUAUUGACUUUGAUGAAUUUGUACAUGCACUCGGUAUCUUUCGUCCCUGUGCUCCUAUAGAAGAAAAAAUCGACUUUGCAUUCCGGCUAUAUGACCUGAGACAAACUGGAUUCAUUGAGCGAGAAGAAGUUAAGCAAAUGGCAGUUGCAAUAAUGAUGGAAUGUGAUAUGAAAUUAUCAGAUGAUCUUCUAGAGGCCAUUAUUGACAAGACAUUUGCUGAUGCUGAUGCUGAUGCAGACAAGGACGGUAGGAUCAACAAAGAAGAAUGGAAAGCAUUCGCCAUUCGACAUCCCACCCUCUUGAAGAACAUGACUCUUCCUUACUUGAAAGACAUCACCACAGUAUUUCCAAGCUUCAUUUUCAACACCGAGGUCGAAGAAGACUGAUCAUUUUUUGGGGUUUCCCUCAGUUGCAUCCACUAGAUUAAAAUGAAGAGAAUUGGCCCUUUUUACCCUUUAAGCAAGGCUGCAUUGCCUGCCAUACCAGGCAAUGGAAGCUAUAGGUGUUACUCUUGCACUAUUGUACUCAAAUAAUAAGCUUUAUACAUCAGCUGCCUAACAUAUAGUUUUACACUAUGAUAUUAUGAGCAAAGCGUGACAUUUCCAGAUGACCAUACGACCUAGGUCAUCAUCGCCUCCUCCGAUCAGUCGUCGGGCUUCUCCGAUCAGUGUUGUACGCCUCUGAUUAUCCUCUCCACGAUCAUCCAUCUCAUCUCAGGUUUUGGCUUUGGGGAUUUUCCAAAUCAACAUCGUCGUCUCUUCCUUCUUCCGCCUCGUCAGUUCCCUUGGCACCCUCUAAGAUACUCUUCAACUUCGAGAAAA
Molecule: RNA transcript, 1201 nt
Organism: Humulus lupulus (European hop)
Lineage: Eukaryota; Viridiplantae; Streptophyta; Magnoliopsida; Rosales; Cannabaceae
Gene name: calcineurin B-like protein 9
Exons: 11
Source: RefSeq, a predicted model, not a curated record